CGCAGUCUUGAUCGUAGAGCAGUACUGCGGAUUCGUAUUAUUCCUAUUUCCGUGGUACUUACUGUUGAGGACAUUAUUUUUGAUAUGGUGUUCCACGCCAAUCCGAAACAACGGUGCGGCUUUCAUAAACGCCAAGGUCAUAUAUAGAAUCUUCAAGGAUUGUGGUAAACAGCAGCCUACGCGAAGGCCUCACGUCAACAUUAACUGUUCCAAAAUCCAAAACUUGACGCAACACCGCCAACCAUAUCGGCGAAAUUGUCUGCCACCUCGGCGAUCACCUCAGACGACAUCUUGGAGGUCGGCACUUCGGAAAUGAACAUUUAACCAAUAGCCAAAUCGGUGGUUAUGUAUUCAUGUCUGUCAUAGCCUGUUAAAUAAAAAUCGAGUGAGAUCGCUCUCAGGUUGAUAUUGAUUUUUUAAGUUUACACCCAGAAAACACAAAUUUUAAAUUAAUUUUUGAAGAAUCUUGCAAUAAACUCAUUGAAGUAUUGAAAGAGAGAGUAAAAGACCCUGCUAACAGACAAACUUUGACAACAUUCAAUAAUACAAUUAACGAUUUGUCAUCAGAUUCAAAAGUAUUGGUUAUUAUGUAUUUAUUACACUGUGUGUUCAUUCCUUCAUCGAAAAAAUCUACUCGUGAUGAAAAUGGUAGAAAAGGUUUUACAAAAUACAGCAUACGAGAUUCACAAAACUCAUUUAUAAUUGUGACACCAACUUCUGUUGACAUGGAAUCUACACUCCAAAAAAUGUCUGAGAUGGGUGCAAUCCAGCCUUGUAUAUUAGUUAUUGGAACACUAUUUGAUCCAAAGCAAAUUCUUGUGUAUUUUGACAACAUUAAGUAUAAAAUGUUUUCAGCCAUUAAAGCCUUUGACAUCUGUUUUAAGAUUUUUCACGUAUUCAAUGUAGAGUAUCCAAUAGAGUCAAGUGAUGUGUGGUUUUUUAUACAAAUUUUUUUUUUAAGAUAACUACAAAGUAUGAUAAAUCUAAUGUAUUAAUUAAACAAGUGAUAAAUGAAUUAAAAUCUUAAUUGUAUGCAUAAUGUAUUAUAAACUGGGUGUUAAUGAAUAAACCAAAAAUAAUUUAAUGUUUUGUUUUGUUUUUUGCAAAAAACAUAUUUGCUAAAUACCUAUUCUUCCUAAACUCUUCCACUUUAUAUUUAAAAUAGUUAUUUUGUCAAUUCAAACAAAUUAUUUCAUUAAUAUCAGACUAAAAUUCCAAAAUGGUAUUGUAAAUUCAAGAAACAAUUAAGUCAAUUCAACAAAAACAUUUCAUUAAUAUCAAACUAUAAAUGCAAAAUGGUAUUGUGGAUUCGAGAAAA
Molecule: long non-coding RNA, 1318 nt
Organism: Acyrthosiphon pisum (pea aphid)
Lineage: Eukaryota; Metazoa; Arthropoda; Insecta; Hemiptera; Aphididae
Exons: 4
Source: RefSeq, a predicted model, not a curated record